This 1597-nucleotide ribosomal RNA is filed under the name metagenome. RNAcentral's name for it is "bacterial LSU rRNA". It matches the Rfam family "Bacterial large subunit ribosomal RNA", at positions 1305 to 2925 of the family's 2925-position model. The record is from RNAcentral.
UGUAGCGAGAUUGAAGUGAGAAUCUUCAAGGCCGAAUAUCUAAGGUUUCCAGGGUAAAGCUGAUCUGCCCUGGGUAAGUCGGGGCCUAAGGCGAGGUCGGAAGACGUAGCCGAUGGACAACAGGUUGAAAUUCCUGUACUGCGAUAUAUCAGAAAUGUGGGGACACAGAAGGAAAGUGUGAGCCGGGAAAGGAAAGACCGGUGCAAGCACAGGAGGAGGGAUACAGGCAAAUCCGUAUCCCAAUCCAAUGGUGUUACGCGGAGCGAACAAAAGUAGCGAAGCACACAGACCAUCUGUCGAGAAAAGCCGCUAUUGUGUAUACCGUACCCGUACCGUAAACCGACACAGGUGGAUGAGGAGGGAAUCCUAAGGCCGGCGGGAGAAGCAUUGUUAAGGAACUCGGCAAAAUGACCCCGUAACUUCGGGAGAAGGGGUGCUCACGCAAGUGAGCCGCAGAGAACUGGCCCAAGCAACUGUUUAGCAAAAACACAGGUCUAUGCAAAACCGAAAGGUGAGGUAUAUGGGCUGACGCCUGCCCGGUGCUGGAAGGUUAAGAGGAGAUGUUAGAGCAAUCGAAGCAUUGAAUUUAAGCCCCAGUAAACGGCGGCCGUAACUAUAACGGUCCUAAGGUAGCGAAAUUCCUUGUCGGGUAAGUUCCGACCCGCACGAAAGGCGUAAUGAUUUGGGCACUGUCUCGACAAUGCACCCGGUGAAAUUGAAAUACCAGUGAAGAUGCUGGUUACCUGCGCCAGGACGGAAAGACCCCAUGGAGCUUUACUCUAGCUUGAUACUGGGAUUCGGUAUUGCAUGUACAGGAUAGGUGGGAGACGAAGAGGUGAUGACGCCAGUUGUCACGGAGUCGAUGUUGGGAUACCACCCCUGCAGUACUGGGUUUCUAACCUGCGGCCGUGACCCGGCCGGGGGACAAUGUCUGGUGGGGAGUUUGACUGGGGCGGUCGCCUCCGAAAGGGUAUCGGAGGCGCUCAAAGGUUCCCUCAGAAUGGUUGGAAACCAUUCGAAGAGUGCAAAGGCAGAAGGGAGCUUGACUGCGACACCGACGGGUGGAGCAGGUACGAAAGUAGGACUUAGUGAUCCGGUGGUAUGAAAGUGGGAUUGCCAUCGCUCAACGGAUAAAAGCUACCCUGGGAUAACAGGCUUAUCACUCCCAAGAGUUCACAUCGACGGAGUGGUUUGGCACCUCGAUGUCGGCUCAUCGCAUCCUGGGGCUGUAGUAGGUCCCAAGGGUUGGGCUGUACGCCCAUUAAAGCGGUACGCGAGCUGGGUUCAGAACGUCGUGAGACAGUUCGGUCCCUAUCCGGCGUGGGCGCAGGAUAUCUGAGAGGAGCUGUCCUUAGUACGAGAGGACCGGGAUGGACUGACCUCUGGUGCAUCGGUUGAGCCACCAGGCUCAUGGCCGAGUAGCCAAGUCGGGACGGGAUAAACGCUGAAGGCAUCUAAGCGUGAAGCCCCCCUCAAGAUGAGAUAUCCCAUAGAGUUAAUCUAGUAAGACCCCUUGAAGACGACGAGGUAGAUAGGCAGAAGGUGGAAGUGUGGUGACAUAUGGAGCUGAUCUGUACUAAUAGGUCGAGGGCUUAUC